GGCCGGUUGGCUUAAUGGUAAAGCGCCAGUUUCCGGCAAUGGCCGCAGCUGGAGAUUGCAUGUUCGAGUCCUGCAUCGGUCG
Molecule: transfer RNA, 82 nt
Filed under: Ceratobasidium sp. 395
Lineage: Eukaryota; Fungi; Basidiomycota; Agaricomycetes; Cantharellales; Ceratobasidiaceae
Also listed under: 1 other name
Description: tRNA-Arg
Rfam family: tRNA
About the family: Transfer RNA (tRNA) molecules are approximately 80 nucleotides in length. Their secondary structure includes four short double-helical elements and three loops (D, anti-codon, and T loops).
Source: RNAcentral